UUCAAUUUGUUAAUGUAAUGAUGUAUUGUAUAUAAGUAUAUAUAAUGUACUUUGUUGUCUAAUGUGUAGACUGUAGACGCAACAAAUGAACCUACAUUCUUUCCCUGGUUUGAGAAAUUGUUGUUGUUGUACUUAAGGCAGUCUUUAUUCUGUGUUGAGUAGUGUAGAUUGCAGUCACAUUUGAGUUUAGCACAUCCUUGUCAAAAGGCAAUUACUUACCACUUUAUUUUGGUAUGCUUUUGCAGCUUUGAGAUUCUCUCUACAAAUUAAUUCAGUGUUUGUACCUUGUUAUUGGCAAAGAAAGUUUGCAUUUUCCAGAGGCCAUCCUUGGGUUUUUCUAAUGCAUCAAUCCUACAUGAAGAUAAAACAGGCAUGGCGUUUAGGCAUGAAAGAUAUGCCAAUAUUUCAUGGAUCUCGUCAGCGCUCUCAAUUAAAGAAACCAACGUGGAUCAUCAUUUUGGUUUCGUUGGUUAGCUUUUUUUGUGAUUUGUGCAUAUGUAUUCCCUUCUAAGAAUUCUGCUGUUUGUUCUUUAUUCUCCUCUGGUGGUUGCAACAAACAUUUCGAUUGGCGGAGCCCUGCUCCUGCUCGCGAAUUAACAGAUCAAGAGAUAGCAUCUUUUGUUGUAGUUAGAGAUGUUCUGAUGAAUACACCAGCAGUUGAACCAAAAAGCCCAAAAAUUGCAUCUCUAUUUUUGAGGUGCUUUACCAUUUGAGAAGCUAUGGGAUAGAAUAUUACAGGGCCAUGAAGGUAAAUUCUCCAUCUAUAUUCAUGCGUCCAAGGACAGACCAGUGCGUCUUAGCCUCGGGAGAUCCGUAGUUACGCGGUAGCCUGGGGGAAAAUUACAAUGGUUGAUGCUGAGAGAUGGCUUUUGGCUAAUGCACUCAAAGAUCUUGAAAAUUUGCACUUUGUUCUACUUUUUGAAAGUUGUAUACCAUUGCGUGAUUUUGAUUACAUUUACAACUAUCUGAUGUACACAAAUGUCAGUUUUGUAGACAACUUUUCGGAUCCUAGUGUGCAUGGACAUGGCAGGUAUAGCGAGCGUAUGGGACCUGUAAUUGAAAAGAAAGACUUUCAAAAGGGUGCACAAGUUCUUCUUUCACUCUGUUAGACACCAACGUGCCGCAUCCAUCCGCAACUUUUGUCGUUCCUUGCGUGGAUUUUCCUGUAAUGAUAACGUUCCCGGCUUGCGUUCUCGCUAGACGAUCUAGUCAACGAUAGCUCCAGGGACUUCUAGCGCUGAGAACCGACGAUCUAUCACUGAAGUUACGUUCGUUUAUACCCAGGUAUGCCUCUCUCCAUCGCCGACUGUCUGUCAACACCGGUUUCUUGUCGUUGGCUAAUCUACCUGUGAGAACUGGUGUAAAAGAGUAACCGGAUAAUCCGCCUGUGGGAACCGGUUUUGUCUUAUUUUAGCAGGUUUCUGCUCGUCUCCGAGAUAUGGCGAGCACAAGUAACAUGUCCAGUGCUCCUGGUGGCCUCGUAACUGUUGUGGAACCAUCAGUUUCCCGAUCCUUGGGGUCAACGGAUACGUUCUCUGAUGAGGAAGAAAGUCGACAAAGGUAUGGGGUGAGAAGGAACACGGGAAAGCAACUAUGGGUUGAGAAGGGGAAGUCGCCAAACUCGAAAAUCUCGUUCAGAAACAACAGAGAGCUAGAGGGUGAUGACUGCCUACUCUCAGACUCCAUGUUGGAAAGAGGUCACGUGAAGCUGGCUAUGGAGGACUGGGUCGAGCCAGAGGGUUCCUUUGUUAGAGUGACGUACGACAAAGGCAACUCGGAUCUCCCUCUCGGGUUGUAGCUGAGGUUAGAAAGAGGUCGUGUAGGUCCAGACAUAGUAAGGAUUGACAGACUGAGAGCUCUUUCGAGAUUCUAUGGGUGGUGGUGCAUGAC
Long non-coding RNA from Ipomoea nil (Japanese morning glory), 1890 nucleotides. RefSeq lists it as uncharacterized. The transcript has 6 exons. Lineage: Eukaryota; Viridiplantae; Streptophyta; Magnoliopsida; Solanales; Convolvulaceae. The record is from RefSeq and is a predicted model, not a curated record.